GGGAGCGUAAUGGUUUCGACAGGGAGUAUGAGCUUCGGCAAGCGAGCAGCGGCACUGCAGAACCGCUAUAAAAUCCGCAGAAUUAAAAACAAACGACAACCGUAACGAAGUUGCCCUCGCUGCGUAAGCAGUGAGCGUUCCUCAUAGAAGUACCACGGUCUGUGAGGGGCGUCGAUUAGUGGUGAACGUGAACGGAAGAGUGUCUUGGCUUCCGGCAUGAACAAAAGACUACCGAAGCACCGGGUUUGUUAUCGAACCUUGUGUCGGGGGAAUCUUUAAUCGGUAACUGCGCUCGGAGAAAACCGUUGUAAGUGCUUUUUGGACAGGGGUUCGAUUCCCCUCGCUUCCACCA
This 352-nucleotide transfer-messenger RNA is filed under the name Acutalibacteraceae. RNAcentral's name for it is "UBA1213 sp902803585 Standard tmRNA". It matches the Rfam family "transfer-messenger RNA". Rfam says of the family: Bacterial tmRNA, also known as 10Sa RNA or SsrA, is named for its dual tRNA and mRNA-like properties. Its role is to liberate the mRNA from a stalled ribosome. Lineage: Bacteria; Bacillati; Bacillota; Clostridia; Eubacteriales. The record is from RNAcentral. RNAcentral also lists the same sequence under 1 other name.